Non-coding RNA from Pelobates cultripes (western spadefoot toad), 132 nucleotides. Lineage: Eukaryota; Metazoa; Chordata; Amphibia; Anura; Pelobatidae. The record is from the annotation of a GenBank genome assembly.
UCAUCUGAUCGACGUUUCGACCCUACAGGGUCUUCCUCAAGAUCUUGAGGAAGACCCUGUAGGGUCGAAGAUCUUGAGCAAGAUCUUGAGGAAGACCCUGUAGGGUCGAAACGUCGAUCAGAUGAUGUAAUC